Molecule: ribosomal RNA, 493 nt
Filed under: uncultured bacterium
Lineage: Bacteria
Description: partial 16S ribosomal RNA
Rfam family: Bacterial small subunit ribosomal RNA
Source: RNAcentral
AUUGAACGCUGGCGGCAUGCUUUACACAUGCAAGUCGAACGGUAACAGGUUAAGCUGACGAGUGGCGAACGGGUGAGUAAUGCAUCGGAACGUGCCCGAUCGUGGGGGAUAACGCAGCGAAAGCUGCGCUAAUACCGCAUACGAUCUGAGGAUGAAAGCGGGGGACCGUAAGGCCUCGCGCGAUCGGAGCGGCCGAUGUCAGAUUAGGUAGUUGGUGGGGUAAAGGCCCACCAAGCCGACGAUCUGUAGCUGGUCUGAGAGGACGACCAGCCACACUGGGACUAAGACACGGCCCAGACUCCUACGGGAGGAAGCAGGGGGAAAUUUUGGACAAUGGGCGAAAGCCUGAUCCAGCAAUGCCGCGUGCAGGAAGAAGGCCUUCGUGUUGUAAGCUGCUUUUGUACGGAGCGAAAAGGUCCUUUCUAAUACAGGGGGCUCAUGACGGUACCGUAAGAAUAAGCACCGGCUAACUACGUGCCAGCAGCCGCAGUAA